CCUACGGGGGGCUGCAGUGGGGAAUAUUGGACAAUGGGGGCAACCCUGACCCAGCCAUGCCGCGUGUGUGAAGAAGGCCCUCGGGUUGUAAAGCACUUUCAGUGAGGAAGAACGCCUGGUGGUUAAUACCCAUCAGGAAAGACAUCACUCACAGAAGAAGCACCGGCUAACUCCGUGCCAGCAGCCGCGGUAAUACGGAGGGUGCGAGCGUUAAUCGGAAUUACUGGGCGUAAAGCGCGCGUAGGUGGCUUGAUAAGCCGGUUGUGAAAGCCCCGGGCUCAACCUGGGAACGGCAUCCGGAACUGUCAAGCUAGAGUGCAGGAGAGGAAGGUAGAAUUCCCGGUGUAGCGGUGAAAUGCGUAGAGAUCGGGAGGAAUACCAGUGGCGAAGGCGGCCUUCUGGACUGACACUGACACUGAGGUGCGAAAGCGUGGGUAGCAAACAGGAUUAGAUACCCUGGUAGUC
This 465-nucleotide ribosomal RNA is filed under the name Vreelandella stevensii. RNAcentral describes it as "partial 16S ribosomal RNA". It matches the Rfam family "Bacterial small subunit ribosomal RNA", at positions 338 to 795 of the family's 1533-position model. Lineage: Bacteria; Pseudomonadati; Pseudomonadota; Gammaproteobacteria; Oceanospirillales; Halomonadaceae. The record is from RNAcentral.